Molecule: long non-coding RNA, 206 nt
Organism: Bufo bufo (common toad)
Lineage: Eukaryota; Metazoa; Chordata; Amphibia; Anura; Bufonidae
Exons: 3
Source: RefSeq, a predicted model, not a curated record
UCCCAAUCGGUUGACAUACCGGACCGCCGAUAAAUUCGAAGGGUCCAAUUGCCAAUCGCUGCCAUCCGAUAGGUAGCGCGAGUUCCAAUCCGCCUGGACGUUGUUAAGUCCCGGUAGGUACUCCGCCUGGACCAUGAUGUCCCUGGCUAGGCAAAAUGUCCAAAAGUCUUUGGCCAGACGAGCCAACGUCGCUGAGCGAGUACCCC